RNAcentral lists this ribosomal RNA (494 nucleotides) under uncultured bacterium. Its description in RNAcentral is "partial 16S ribosomal RNA". It matches the Rfam family "Bacterial small subunit ribosomal RNA", at positions 28 to 507 of the family's 1533-position model. The record is from RNAcentral.
GACGAACGCUGGCGGCGUGCUUAACACAUGCAAGUCGAACGGUGAAGCGCCUUCCUUUUUGGUGGGUGUGGAUGAGUGGCGAACGGGUGAGUAACACGUGAGUAACCUGCCCCCUUCUUCUGGAUAACCGCAUGAAAGUGUGGCUAAUACGGGAUAUUCUGGGUCUGUCGCAUGAUGGGUCUGGGAAAGAUAUUGUUUCGGUGGGGGAUGGGCUCGCGGCCUAUCAGCUUGUUGGUGGGGUGAUGGCCUACCAAGGCGGUGACGGGUAGCCGGCCUGAGAGGGUGGACGGUCACACUGGGAGUGAGACACGGCCCAGACUCCGACGGGAGGCAGCAGUGGGGAAUAGUGCACAAUGGGCGCAAGCCUGAUGCAGCGACGCCGCGUGAGGGAUGGAGGCCUUCGGGUUGUGAACCUCUUUCGCCAGUGAAGCAGGCCUGCCUCGUUUGUGGGUGGGUUGACGGUAGCUGGAUAAGAAGCGCCGGCUAACUACGUG